ACGCUCGACACCUACGGGAGGAGCAGUGGGGAAUAUUGGGCAAUGGGCGCAAGCCUGACCCAGCAACGCCGCGUGAAGGAAGAAGGCCUCGGGUUGUAAACUUCUUUUAUUCGGGACGAAGCAAGUGACGGUACCGAAUGAAUAAGCCACGGCUAACUACGUGCCAGCAGCCGCGGUAAUCUGAGGCGGGCUGGCAAGGC
This 200-nucleotide ribosomal RNA is filed under the name uncultured bacterium. RNAcentral's name for it is "partial 16S ribosomal RNA". It matches the Rfam family "Bacterial small subunit ribosomal RNA", at positions 328 to 539 of the family's 1533-position model. The record is from RNAcentral.